AAGUCGUAACAAGGUUUCCGUAGGUGAGUGGACAAGAGUUCCCUUUGCGCUGCGCGUUUCCCCUGCUAACCUUUGUGACCUAGGUGAACCUGCGGAAGGAUCAUUAACGAGAGAGGGUCCUCCGGGGCCCGACCCUCCCACCCUGUGUGUACGUACCUCUGUUGCUUCGGCGGGCCCGUGGGUCCCAGCUGGGAUUCACCGUCGGCCUCGGCCGGUCCGCGCCCGCCAGGAGCCCCCCAUCACACCCGAUUUUGCCAGUGGCGUCUGAGUGCAACGCAAUGACUAAAACUUUCAACAACG
RNAcentral lists this unclassified non-coding RNA (300 nucleotides) under Ochrolechia sp. Its description in RNAcentral is "partial contains internal transcribed spacer 1". Lineage: Eukaryota; Fungi; Ascomycota; Lecanoromycetes; Pertusariales; Ochrolechiaceae. The record is from RNAcentral.